This 253-nucleotide ribosomal RNA is filed under the name uncultured bacterium. RNAcentral describes it as "partial 16S ribosomal RNA". It matches the Rfam family "Bacterial small subunit ribosomal RNA", at positions 524 to 776 of the family's 1533-position model. The record is from RNAcentral.
UACAGAGGUCCCAAGCGUUACUGAGAAUCACUGGGUUUAAAGGGUGCGUAGGUGGUCCGUUAAGUCAGUUGUGAAAUCCCCGGGCUCAACCCGGGAACUGCUUCUGAUACUGGCGGACUUGAGGCCAGUAGGGGUCACUAGAACUGACGGUGGAGCGGUGAAAUGCGUAGAUAUCGUCAGGAAUGCCGGUGGUGAAGACGGGUGACUGGGCUGGUUCUGACACUGAGGCACGAAAGCGUGGGGAGCGGACGGG